RNAcentral lists this ribosomal RNA (270 nucleotides) under uncultured archaeon. Its description in RNAcentral is "partial 16S ribosomal RNA". It matches the Rfam family "Archaeal small subunit ribosomal RNA", at positions 477 to 747 of the family's 1478-position model. The record is from RNAcentral.
CUGCAGCCCGAGUAGUGACCGUUAUUACUGGGCCUAAAACGUCCGUAGCCUGUUUGGUAAAUGCUUGGGUAAAUCGUGUAGCUUAACUAUACGAAUACCGGGUAGACUGCCAGACUUGAGACCGGGAGAGGUUGGAGGUACUCCUGGGGUAGAGGUGAAAUUCUGUAAUCCUGGGGGGACCACCAGUGGCGAAGGCGUCCAACCAGAACGGGUCUGACGGUGAGGGACGAAGCCCUGGGGCGCAAACCGGAUUAGAUACCCGAGUAGUCC